UAAAGAACACUAAUAAUAAGAAGAGACUUGCUUGGGCCAAGAAACAGAGCAAUGGAUAUUAGACUGGUGGAAAUCUGUCCUUUUGUCUGAUGAGUCCAAAUUUUAGAUUUUUGGUUCCAACCGCCAAGUCUUUGUGAGACGCAGAGUAGGUGAAUGGAUGAUCUCCGCAUGUGUGGUUCCCACUGUGAAGCACGGAGGAGGAGGUGUGAUGGUGUGGGGUUGCUGUCUGUGAUUUAUUUAGAAUUCCAGGUACACUUAACCAGCAUGGCUACCACAGCAUUCUGCAGCGAUACGCCAUCCCAUCUGGUUUGAGCUUAGUGCGAGUAUCAUUUGUUUUUCAACAGGACAAUGACCCAAAACACACCUCCAGGCUGUGUAAUGCCGGUUUGACCAAGGAGAGUGAUGGAGUGCUGCAGAUGACCUGUCCUCCACAAUCCCCCAACUUCAACCCAAUUGAGAUGGUUUGAGAUGAGUUGGACCGCAGAGUGAAGGAAAAGCAGCCAACAAGUGCUCAGUACAUGUGGGAACUCCUUCAAGACUGUUGGAAAAACAUUCCUCAUGAAGCUGCUUGAGAGACUGCCAAGAGUGUGCAAAGCUGUCAUCAAGGCAAAGGCUCAGCAGGUGUUCAUCCUGGGGCCUAGCAGGGGCUGCCGCUGUGAUGUGCAGGAAUGUGUCGGGCGAGGGGGACACCAGGCUGGUGGAGCUGGAGAGGGAUUAGUGCCCAGCACCCACCAACCCCUCACAGCAGGAGCUGUCAUGUCAACCCAGCCUCACUCUGAUUGGGUAUUGGUCAGGGGACAGUUUCAGGUCACAGCACCGGCAGCCUUGAACGCUGGGCACACCAUUCUCUCUCACAAUGUACAGCAGGCAACAUAUACAUGCUCUGACAACCCACGGUGGAGCAACAAAAGAGGAAGGGGAGGUUGAGUCUCUAUCGAUUACCCUCUUCGACCCACUCUAUUGGACUCAUUAGCUGUGGAAUACGACCGGAUCCAUAGACAUUCCAGGUCCAAUAUGAUUUCAGACGGAAUGUCAGGCAUUACAAAAUUGACCCUGGAGUGAUUUGUGGGAGAUGGAGGAGGAGAAGGACGAAAAAAGUUAACUGUGCAUGAUGGAGAAAAGGAAACAUCUCCCCAUCACAUCUACAGAAACCAGCACUUCACCAGAGACCCCCAGACAGACACAGGGAAGAGAGGAAGAGGGACCGAGGGGGGCGGGAGGCCGGUGGUGGCUGGUCCACUCCAGGAAUCUGAGGCGAGGGAGGUCCCUCCGCCCCCUUUGGACAUCGAGGGGGCCCUGGUGUACUCCGUUCGUUCCAUCCUGGAUUCGAGGCAUCGGGCAGGGGGCCUUCAGUACCUUGUGGAGUGGGAGGGAUACGGUCCGGAGGAGAGGUGCUGGGUCCCGGUUGCGGAUGUUUUGGACCCCGAACUGCUGCGGGAGUUUCACCAUCGCCGGCUGGAUCGCCCUGCGCUUCGCCCUCCGCAUCGUCCUGAGGUCGGUGUCGGCGUGCCACUGGAGCCGCUCGUCAAGGGAGGGGUACUGUCACGACUUCCGCCGAAGUCGGCUCCUCUCCUUGUUCAGGCGGCGUUCGGCGAUCGACGUCACCGGCUUUCUAGCCAUCGCCGCUCCAUUUCUCAUAUGUCCAUUUGUUUUGUCUUGUUCCAUACACACCUGGUUUACAUUCCCCAAUCAAUCUACAUGUAUUUAGUCCUCUGUUCCCCAUCAUGUCUUUAUGUGUAAUUGUUUAUUGUUACGUGGGAUAUUUGUCAGGCGCUGCACUUUUGUUAUUAGACCGUGUUUUUGGCACUAGUAUGUUUUAGGUGCUGUCGUUGUUGACCGGUAUUAAAGUGCGCCUGUUUAUUAUACUCCAAGGGAAGCUUCUUCUUCAUGACACCCACCAGUAUUAUUAGAAACAUCAGUCAAGCUGUUAGGGCCUUGCAAACAGAAGUGCCUGCUGAUGUCCCAUUCCCCAUGUGAUGUAUGGUUAGCCCUCACUCGACAAACAUGUAGGGCAAGGGCCAUGCACCAGGGCACCCCUUGUUGAUGAAGUGGCACCACCCUAAACAAAUUCCCACAAAGGCAGGAAGGGCAGGGGCAUUGAACCCCUACUCCCUAGAAAAAGGCCUUCCCGUCCACUCAGCCCUGUGUACAGGGCAUUGACUGUAAGGACACACAGGGAGGAGCACAACGAUGGGCAAUACAGGCUGUUUUUCCUGUUGAAGCAUUCUUUGUGUGAGAGAAGAGGACUCCUCUCUGGAAACACAGGAAGGCUCACCAGGGGUCGGCAGAGGAAUGUAAACACACACAUAGACUCCCUCCACACCACAGAGUGUGCUGUGUGCAAACUUGACAUAUCCCAUAGGUCUUCCCCCGGAAUGAAAAACAUAAACAUCACGCUGAUUUCACUUGUGUGGAUAAUGGACGGAUGUUAACUUGCUUACCCGUAAAACUUCAAUUAAAUGCUGAGUCUCAAAUAGACUUCAGCCAACCAAGUCAUAGACGGUUCUCUCUGCUGCCGCACGGCAAGUGGUACCGUUGCACCAAGUCUGGACCCAACAGGACCCAGCUUCUAUCCCCAAGCCAUAAGGCUGCUAAAUAGUUAGUUAAAUAGUUAACCUAAUUGCUACCCAGACUAAAAAGGCAAAAAAGAUCAUCAAGGACAACAACCACCCGAGCCACUGCCUUUUCACCCCGCUAUCAUCCAGAAGGCGAGGCCAACAGACUGUUAAAUAGCCAUCACUAGCACAUUAGAGUCUGCUGCCCUAUAUACAUAGACUUGAAAUCACUGGUGACUUUAGUAAUGGAACACUAGUCACUUUAAUAAUCUUUACAUACUGCUUUACUCAUCUCAUAUGUAUAUACUGUAUUCUAUUCUACUGUAUCUUAUUCUAUGCCGCUCUGACAUUGCUCAUCCAAAUAUUUAUAUAUUCUUAAUUCCAUUCCUUUACUUAAGAUUUGUGUGUAUUGUUGUGAAAUGUUAGAUAUUACUUGUUAGAUAUUACUGCACUGUUGGAGCUAGAAACACACGCAUUUCGCUACACUCGCAAUAACAUCUGCUAAACACGUGUAUGUGACCAAAAAAAUGUGAUUUGAUUAGAUUUUGACUAUCGGCAUUGACCCUUUUUGCACUAACUUUUUUUGACUCAUCACAUACGCUGCUGCUACUGUUUACUAUCUGUCACUUUACUCCGAGUUAUAUGUCACCUAAAACACUCACCCCGCCCUCAACCUCAAUGCUCUCCAGAGGGUAGUGCGGUCUGCACAACACAUCACCGGGGGCAAACUAACUGCCCUCCAAGACACCUACCGCACCCGAUGUCACAGGAAGGUCAAAAAGAUCAUCAAGGACAACAACCACUGCCUGUUCACCCCGCUAUCAUCCAGAAGGCGAGGUCAGUACAGGUGCAUCAAAGCUGGGACCGAGAGACUGAAAAACAGCUUCUAUCUCAAAGCCAUCAGACUGUUAAACAGCCAUCACUAACAUUGAGUGGCUGCUGCGAACAUACAGACACAAAUCUCUGGCCACUUAAAUAAAUUGACUUAAUAAAUGUAUCACUAGUCACUUUAAAUAACGCCACUUUAAUAAGGUUUACAUAUCCUACAUUACUUAUCUCAUAUGUAUAUACUGUAUUCUAUACCAUCUACUGCAUCUUGCCUAUGCAGCACGGCCAUCGCUCAUCCAUAUAUUUAUAUGUACAUAUUCUUAUUCAUCCCUUUACAUUUGUGUGUAUAAGGUAGUCAUUGUGAAUUUGUUAGAUUACUGUUAGAUUACUUACGGGAAGGACCCGUAAGUAAGCAUUUCACUGUUAGUCUACACCUGUUGUUUACAAAGCAUGUAGUGAAUAAAAUUGUAUUUUAUUUGGCCAUGCAUGACUGACCGUAGCGGCAAAGCCAGCAAAAUGCAAAGGGUUUGUUUCAAACUGUCUCUUUUCAUGUACUGUAGUAUCUAAAAGACAGGUCUUCUGCUGCCAAAUCUGUACCCCUAGCCACUAGCUAAAUCCACACAGAUUUACCCAUGACUUGACUUUGGAACAUUGUUAUUUUUUCUUUGCAUCAGGGUUUUUUCCCAUCCUGCCAAAUGAUGUUGGUUGUUCUGUUAGAAGUGAGCUCGGGAUCAAAAGGAGGGAUGGUGUGAUGGGUGUAUGGGCAUGGGGGGGUGUUGCAGCUGUCUGGAUCAAAUGGAUCAGAGUCAACUGGGGUGGGGUGGUUUAGGCAGGGGGCUCAUAGGGGACACCUAUUCUUCUGUGUCAUAGCCAGCCUGCACGGCACAUAUGCCAGUCCCAAGGCCACUCUGAAAGCCAUGCCCCCAUGCAGCCUUCUCAACUGUAACUCUGUGUAAUAACAUGGCCUGUUCUUCCAUUAAUGGUUUCCAUGAUGCGGCCGUCCUCUUCACUCCACUGAAAUGUGUGUGAGUGAUAUAUAUAUAUAUAUGUCCCCAGCAGACACACGUUGUGAAUGUGUGUACAUGAGCACUUUGUUUGAGUUUUGUUUUCAGACACCAAGACAAUAGAAAUGCCAAAACAGAUGUAGAAACAGUUAGAGUGGUGUUGCGGAUGUUUGUACUCCCUCUCUCCCCCUCGCCUUGUGAUUGCACAUCAACGUUGUAGAGUAAGUGUUAAAGUGCCUGUGAUUGAUUUGGUUGUUUAGCUCCUUGAAGCAGUAGUCUGUUAAUGAAGGAGCCCUGAACUCGGACUGCAGAGAGUGGUGAGAUCACAGACAGCCCCUGGACAACACUGUCCUUGGAACAAUGGUUAACCCUAAUUAGAAGUGUUAUUUGUAACAUAGGCAGCUUUUUGUGCAGCCACUGGCCAUUGUCAUUUAACCCAAAAGGCGAUAAUGCUUGAUAGUGGGUUAGGUGUUUGAAGGUUUUAAUGGUACCUGGUAAAAGUGGUGAACAGUUGAGAACAGCUGACAUGGGUUAAGGAAGUGAGAGAAGCACUGUCAUGGCAAAUACACACACUCCCUACUGUUUGUUUGCUCCCAGCUUGGGGAGGUGGGCUGAGCUGGUUUCAACACUGACUGAUUUAUAGUUUGGCGCUGUCUAUCAAGCAGCUGACAGAUGGACAUUGCACUGCAACCUCAGCAGCACAGCAGACACAUCACUUUCCAAACUCCAUCCAUUUCACUACCAACUGGAAUGCUAAGGAUAAGUCAAUGGGGCAUUCUUUUCUACACUUUUGACUACUUUAAUACACAUAUAAGUGAAUUUGUCCCAAUACUUUUGGUCCCCUAAAAUGGGGGACUAUGUACAAAAAGUGCUUUAAUUUCUAAAUGGAAAAGACCCUCAAAUUAAAGCUGACAGUCUGCACUUUAUUGUCACAGUCAUUGUAUCAUUUCAAAUCGAAAGUCCUGGAGUACAGAACCAAAAC
This 5369-nucleotide long non-coding RNA is filed under the name Salmo salar (Atlantic salmon). RNAcentral's name for it is "lncRNA (ENSSSAG00000095599.1)". The record is from RNAcentral. Lineage: Eukaryota; Metazoa; Chordata; Actinopteri; Salmoniformes; Salmonidae.